This 497-nucleotide ribosomal RNA is filed under the name uncultured Chryseobacterium sp. Its description in RNAcentral is "bacterial SSU rRNA". It matches the Rfam family "Bacterial small subunit ribosomal RNA", at positions 8 to 507 of the family's 1533-position model. Lineage: Bacteria; Pseudomonadati; Bacteroidota; Flavobacteriia; Flavobacteriales; Weeksellaceae. The record is from RNAcentral.
AGAGUUUGAUCCUGGCUCAGGAUGAACGCUAGCGGAGGCCUAACACAUGCAAGCCGAGCGGUAGAGUCUCUUCGGGGACUUGAGAGCGGCGUACGGGUGCGGAACACGUGUGCAACCUGCCUUUAUCAGGGGAUAGCCUUUCGAAAGGAAGAUUAAUACCCCAUAAUAUAAUGAACGGCAUCGUUUUUUAUUGAAAACUCCGGUGGAUAGAGAUGGGCACGCGCAAGAUUAGAUAGUUGGUGAGGUAACGGCUCACCAAGUCAGUGAUCUUUAGGGGGCCUGAGAGGGUGAUCCCCCACACUGGUACUGAGACACGGACCAGACUCCUACGGGAGGCAGCAGUGAGGAAUAUUGGACAAUGGGUGAGAGCCUGAUCCAGCCAUCCCGCGUGAAGGACGACUGCCCUAUGGGUUGUAAACUUCUUUUGUACAGGGAUAAACCUAGAUACGUGUAUCUAGCUGAAGGUACUGUACGAAUAAGCACCGGCUAACUCCGUG